This 301-nucleotide ribosomal RNA is filed under the name uncultured Geobacter sp. RNAcentral describes it as "bacterial SSU rRNA". It matches the Rfam family "Bacterial small subunit ribosomal RNA", at positions 1080 to 1382 of the family's 1533-position model. The record is from RNAcentral. Lineage: Bacteria; Pseudomonadati; Thermodesulfobacteriota; Desulfuromonadia; Geobacterales; Geobacteraceae.
UUAAGUCCCGCAACGAGCGCAACCCCUAUCCUCAGUUGCCAUCAUUAAGUUGGGCACUCUGUGGAGACUGCCGGUGUUAAACCGGAGGAAGGUGGGGAUGACGUCAAGUCCUCAUGGCCCUUAUGACCAGGGCUACACACGUGCUACAAUGGCCGGUACAAAGAGUUGCGAUACCGCGAGGUGGAGCUAAUCUCAUAAAGCCGGUCUCAGUUCGGAUUGGAGUCUGCAACUCGACUCCAUGAAGUUGGAAUCGCUAGUAAUCGCGGAUCAGCACGCCGCGGUGAAUACGUUCCCGGGCCUU